GGAAUAUUGGUCAAUGGACGAGAGUCUGAACCAGCCAAGUAGCGUGAAGGAUGCAGGUCCUACGGAUUGUAAACUUAUUUUAUAAGGGAAUAAAACCUCCCACGUGUGGGAGCUUGUAUGUACCUUAUGAAUAAGCAUCGGCUAACUCCGUGCCAGCAGCCGCGGUAAUACGGAGGAUGCGAGCGUUAUCCGGAUUUAUUGGGUUUAAAGGGAGCGCCGACGGGUCGUUAAGUCGGCUGUGAAAGUUUGGGGCUCAACCUUAAAAUUGCAGUUGAUACUGGCGUCCUUGAGUGCGGUUGAGGUGUGCGGAAUUCGUGGUGUAGCGGUGAAAUGCUUAGAUAUCACGAAGAACUCCGAUUGCGAAGGCAGCACACUAAGCCGUAACUGACGUUCAUGCUCGAAAGUGUGGGUAUCAAAC
Molecule: ribosomal RNA, 418 nt
Filed under: uncultured bacterium
Lineage: Bacteria
Description: bacterial SSU rRNA
Rfam family: Bacterial small subunit ribosomal RNA
Source: RNAcentral